AGAGUUUGAUCCUGGCUCAGGAUGAACGCUGGCGGCGUGCCUAACACAUGCAAGUCGAACGGAUCGGCUUGGGUCUGCGGGCCUGGAAGGGGCGGCGGGCAAGAAAUUGUCCAAGGCUCUGGAAGGGUGCAAGGGAUCCGGUGCCGGUCAGUGGCGGACGGGUGAGUAACACGUAGGUGAUCUGCUCCCAAGUGGGGAAUAACCAUCCGAAAGGGUGGCUAAUACCGCGUAAUGUUCUCCGGUUGCGGCCGGGGGAAGAAAGGGUCGGAAGAUCCGCUUUGGGAGGGGCCUGCGGCCGAUUAGCUAGUUGGUGGGGUAAUGGCCCACCAAGGCGAUGAUCGGUAGCUUGGUCUGAGAGGACGAUCAGCCACACUGGAACUGAGAACGGUCCAGACUCCUACGGGAGGCAGCAGUGAGGAAUAUUGCACAAUGGGGGAAACCCAGAUGCAGCAACGCCGCGUGAAGAAAGAAGGCCUUCGGGUCGUAAAGCUCUUUUCUGGGGGGAUGAGGAAGGACAGUACCUCAGGGACAAGUCUCGGCUAACUACGUGCCAGCAGCCGCGGUAAGACGUAGGAGGCAAGCGUUAUCCGGAUUCAUUGGGCGUAAAGGGCAAGUAGGCGGUGCCCAAAGUUGGGCGUGACAUCUCCCGGCUCAACUGGGAGGGUGCGUUCAAAACUAGGGGACUAGAGGGCAGGAGAGGGAAGUGGAAUUCCCAGUGUAGCGGUGGAAUGCUCAGAUAUUGGGAAGAACACCAGUGGCGAAGGCGGCUUCCUGGCCUGCACCUGACGCUGAGAGGCGAAAGCUAGGGUAGCAAACGGGCUUAGAUACCCCGGUAGUCCUAGCUGUAAACGUUGGAUACUAGGUAUUGGAGGAGGAGAGUCCUUCAGUGCCGAAGCAAACGCGCUAAGUAUCCCGCCUGGGGACUACGGCCGCAAGGUUAAAACUCAAAGGAAUUGACGGGGGCCCGCACAAGCAGCGGAGCGUGGUGGUUUAAUUCGAUGCAACACGAAGAACCUUACCUGGGCUUGACAUGUAGGUAGUAGGGAAGGGAAACCGGACCGACCUUCGGGGAGCCUGCACAGGUGCUGCAUGGCUGUCGUCAGCUCGUGCCGUGAGGUGUUGGGUUAAUUCCCACAACGAGCGCAACCCUCGUCGCCAGUUGUACGUUUCUGGCGAGACUGCCGGUGUAUAACCGGAGGAAGGUGGGGAUGAUGUCAAGUCAGCAUGGCCUUUAUGUCCAGGGCUACACACACGCUACAAUGGUCGGUACAGAGGGCAGCCAAGCCGUGAGGCGGAGCAAUUCCCACAAAGCCGGCCACAGUUCAGAUUGCAGGCUGCAACCCGCCUGCAUGAAGUCGGAGUUGCUAGUAACCGCAGGUCAGCGAUACUGCGGUGAAUACGUUCCCGGGCCUUGUACACACCGCCCGUUACGUCAUGGGAGCUGGCAAUACCUAAAGCCGGUGGGCCAACCGCAAGGGGGCAGCCGUCUAGGGUAGGGCUGGUGACUGGGACGAAGUCGUAACAAGGUAGCUGUACCGGAAGGUGCGGCUGGAUCACCUCCUU
This 1563-nucleotide ribosomal RNA is filed under the name uncultured soil bacterium. Its description in RNAcentral is "bacterial SSU rRNA". It matches the Rfam family "Bacterial small subunit ribosomal RNA". The record is from RNAcentral.